GCCGACUUAGCUCAGUUGGGAGAGCGUUAGACUGAAGAUCUAAAGGUCCCUGGUUCAAAUCCGGAGAGCUCGCA
Molecule: transfer RNA, 74 nt
Filed under: Dendronephthya gigantea
Lineage: Eukaryota; Metazoa; Cnidaria; Anthozoa; Malacalcyonacea; Nephtheidae
Description: tRNA-Phe
Rfam family: tRNA
About the family: Transfer RNA (tRNA) molecules are approximately 80 nucleotides in length.
Source: RNAcentral